This 274-nucleotide ribosomal RNA is filed under the name uncultured bacterium. RNAcentral describes it as "partial 16S ribosomal RNA". It matches the Rfam family "Bacterial small subunit ribosomal RNA", at positions 523 to 796 of the family's 1533-position model. The record is from RNAcentral.
CUACGGAGGGUGCAAGCGUUAAUCGGAAUUACUGGGCGUAAAGAGUACGUAGGUGGUUUGUUAAGUCAGAUGUGAAAGCCCCGGGCUCAACCUGGGAACUGCAUUUGAAACUGGCAAACUAGAGUAUGGUAGAGGGGGGUAGAAUUUCUAGUGUAGCGGUGAAAUGCGUAGAUAUUAGAAGGAAUACCAGUGGCGAAGGCGGCCCCCUGGACCAAUACUGACACUGAGGUACGGAAGCGUGGGUAGCGAACAGGAUUAGAAACCCUAGUAGUCC